Molecule: non-coding RNA, 86 nt
Organism: Vicugna pacos (alpaca)
Lineage: Eukaryota; Metazoa; Chordata; Mammalia; Artiodactyla; Camelidae
Source: RefSeq, a predicted model, not a curated record
AUGGGGAGGUACAAGACCCAACUCUUUUACAGUGAAAACUGCAGGAACUUCCAACCGGCACUAGGAAACAGACUGAGAAACCAGAG